AUAUUAUACGAUACCUCGAGCAAUGUAACAAUAAAUACAUUGAACGAGUCAAAUGAUCAUUAUAGUGAAUCCAAUACAAACUGUAAUAAAAAUAAUAUAAUUAAAACAUAUAGUAAAGAAAAAUAUAAAAACGUUGUAAUUAUGAACUCAAAUUAUAAUUCUUUAGAUGAAAACUGUUUUGAUUAUAACUUGGAUUUACAUGAUAAAAAUGGCACUGGUAAUAACAACUUGACGAAUGAUACAAAUAAGUUAUGUGAUACAUGCAAUUCAGAAUUUAACGACGUAUGUGUUAACAGUGACGUAUGUAACAAUAGCGACGUAUGCAAUAAUAGCGACACACUCGAGGAUAAUCACGCUGCACCAUCUAACGACACUAAAGAAUACCCACAAUCGAACAAUUUUUUAGAUACUAAAACAUUAAAGAACAAAUUAAAUAUGGAAUCAUUUAAAAACAAUUUAUUUUCUUUUAGUGAAUCUAAAAAUAAUGUAUUAGAUGCAAAAAAAGCAACAGUUUUAAUGCCAAUAGUAAAAUCACCUUUUCACAAUUUCCAUUUAUGUCUUAAUACUAUACAAAAUGAAAAAGUAUCUAUAUUUUCAAAUACAGUUAAAUUACCAAAUAUGUAUACACUUCUUAAUAGAUUUACAUUAUGCUUGAAUGUAAUUCAAAUGCUAGUUGGAACUUUUACAAUGAUAUAUGAAAAAGCAAAUUAUGCUUUUAAUUGGGAUUUUGAUUUUUAUACACUUAUAAAUUUAAUCAUUCUUUUUUUAAUAUGUUAUAUUUUAUCUUUUAUAUUUUAUUUAUUAUCGCUAAUUCCACUAGUCUUUUAUCGUUUUAUUUUAUUUUUUGUUGUAUCAUAUUUAAUUAUUAAAAGUUAUGAGUAUACAGAAGGAUAUACGCAGAAUUUGAGUUUGUUAAACGAAAAACGAGCACAAGCAGCAAAAGCAGACCUCAGCACGGUUCUAAACUAUCGUAAUAAUAGUAGUGGUAAUAGUGGUAGCAGUGCUAGUAGUGGCAGUAUUGGUAGUAGUAGUAGUAGUAGUAGUGGUAGUAGUAGUAACAGUAGCAGUAGUAGUAGCCAUCGUAAGAACGUUUACCAUGUUACCAAUACCGGUGGUUACAAAAAAAAAGUAGGACACAAUAUUAUAUACAAAUAUAAUAAAUUAUUAGUUAUGAAAUUAAAAA
RNAcentral lists this long non-coding RNA (1183 nucleotides) under Piliocolobus tephrosceles (Ugandan red Colobus). RNAcentral's name for it is "lncRNA (ENSPTEG00000004925.1)". Lineage: Eukaryota; Metazoa; Chordata; Mammalia; Primates; Cercopithecidae. The record is from RNAcentral.